RNAcentral lists this ribosomal RNA (253 nucleotides) under uncultured bacterium. RNAcentral describes it as "partial 16S ribosomal RNA". It matches the Rfam family "Bacterial small subunit ribosomal RNA", at positions 524 to 776 of the family's 1533-position model. The record is from RNAcentral.
UACGGAGGGUGCGAGCGUUAAUCGGAAUAACUGGGCGUAAAGGGCACGCAGGCGGGCUUUUAAGUGAGAUGUGAAAUCCCCGGGCUUAACCUGGGAAUAGCAUUUCAGACUGGGAGUCUAGAGUACUUGAGGGAGGGGUAGAAUUCCACGUGUAGCGGUGAAAUGCGUAGAGAUGUGGAGGAAUUCCGAAGGCGAAGGCAGCCCCUUGGGAAUGUACUGACGCUCAUGGACGAAAGUGUGGGGAGCAAACAUG